Molecule: non-coding RNA, 31 nt
Filed under: Rattus norvegicus (Norway rat)
Lineage: Eukaryota; Metazoa; Chordata; Mammalia; Rodentia; Muridae
Source: RNAcentral
UCCUCACCUCACUCAAAGGCUUCCCUAGGUU